GGCUCAAUAGUAUAGGGGUAGUAUAGGUCUUUCGGGUUUUGGAGAUUACUCGCUGAACAGAAGGCCUCAGUCUAUAGACCAGACCUGGGUUCGACUCCCGGUUGAGCCC
Molecule: transfer RNA, 109 nt
Filed under: Tilletia horrida
Lineage: Eukaryota; Fungi; Basidiomycota; Exobasidiomycetes; Tilletiales; Tilletiaceae
Description: tRNA-Pro
Rfam family: tRNA
About the family: Transfer RNA (tRNA) molecules are approximately 80 nucleotides in length. Their secondary structure includes four short double-helical elements and three loops (D, anti-codon, and T loops).
Source: RNAcentral